AGGGCGCGCGGUGGAUGCCUAGGCUCUCGGAGGCGAUGAAGGACGCGAUAAGCCGCGAUAGGCCACGGCGAGGUGCAAGUAACCCUUGACCCGUGGAUUUCCGAAUGGGGCAACCCGGCCGUCUAGAUGACGGUCAUGCAGUAAUGCAAGCGAACGCGGGGAACUGAAACAUCUCAUUACCCGCAGGAGAAGAAAACAAAAUGUGAUUCCCCCAGUAGUGGCGAGCGAACGGGGAAGAGCCCAAACCGUUGCCGUUUCGGCGACAGCGGGGUCAUGGGACCGCGAUAUUCGACGGAAGACGAAGUGCAAUUACCUGGAAAGGUAAGCCGUGGAGGGUGACAGCCCCGUGCACGACACCUCUUUCGAAGAUAGCGGGAUCCCGAGUAGGGCGGGACACGAGAAAUCCUGCCUGAAUUCGCCAGGACCGCCUGGCAAGGCUAAAUACUCCCGAGAGACCGAUAGUGAACCAGUACCGCGAGGGAAAGGUGAAAAGUACCCCGAGCAGGGGGGUGAAAUAGACCCUGAACCCGCGCGCCUACAAGCGGUCGGAGCCGGGUAAUCCGGUGACGGCGUGCCUUUUGCAUAAUGAGCCUACGAGUUAGUCGUCACCAGCGAGGUUAAGGGCUUCAGGCCCGUUAGCCGAAGUGAAAGCGAGCCUUAACAGGGCGUCGAGUUGGUGGCGCUAGACGCGAAACCUUGUGAUCUACCCACGAGCAGGUUGAAGUCGCGGUAACACGUGAUGGAGGACCGAACCGGUAAACGUUGAAAAGUUUUCGGAUGACUCGCGGGUAGGGGUGAAAGGCCAAUCAAACUGGGAAAUAGCUCGUACUCUCCGAAAUGCAUUUCGGUGCAGCCUGUGAUGUUCUGUUCCAGAGGUAGAGCUACUGGUUGGACGCGAGGGCUUCACCGCCUAUCAAAUCCGGAUAAACUCCGAAUGCUGGAACACGAAAUCAUGGAGUGAGCCCGCGGGUGCUAAGGUCCGCGGACGAGAGGGAAAGAACCCGGACCACCGGCUAAGGUCCCGGAUGGACAGUUAAGUUGAUCAAACGAGGUGGGAUCGCGGAGACAGCUAGGAUGUUGGCUUGGAAGCAGCCAUUCAUUUAAAGAGUGCGUAACAGCUCACUAGUCGAGCGAUCCCGCGUGGAUAAUACACGGGCAUCAAACUGUCAACCGAAGCCGUGGGGUUAGUGAUGAGCUAACCGGUAGGAGAGCAUUCCUGCCAGCUUUGAAGGUCACCCGCGAGAGUGACUGGAGCGGCAUGAAAAGCAAAUGUAGGCAUAAGUAACGAUAAUGGGGGCGAGAACCCCCCACGCCGCAAGACCAAGGAUUCCCCGGCAAUGUCAAUCAGCCGGGGGUCAGCCGGCCUCUAAGGCUCACCCGAAAGGGGAUGCCGACGAGAAACGGGUUAACAUUCCCGUGCUUCUCGUCACCGUGACGCGGUGACGGGGUGAUGAAUGGACCGCGCGCUGACGGAAUAGCGCGUUGAAGGCCGUACCCUUUGACGGUGGUAGUCAAGCACGCCACCGGAGGCGAGAGCCGAUAGUACCACGAGACCCCGGUCGAGUGGAUAGCGUCCAGGCAAUUUACCCCCUAGAAAACCCGCUAAACUUCAAGUGACGAGGAACCGUACUGUAAACGGACACACGUGGUCGGGUAGAACAUACCAAGGCGCUCGAGUGAUUCAUGGUCAAGGAACUAGGCAAAAUAGUCCUGUAACUUAGGGAUAAAGGACGCUCUAGUGAUAGAGCCGCAGAGUAAUGGCCCAGGCGACUGUUUACCAAAAACACAUGGCUAUGCCAAAUCGAAAGAUGACGUAUAUGGCCUGACACCUGCCCGGUGCCGGAAGGUUAAGAGGAGAGCUCAUCGGAAACGAGAAGGUUUGAAUUGAAGCCCCGGUAAACGGCGGCCGUAACUAUAACGGUCCUAAGGUAGCGAAAUUCCUUGUCGGGUAAGUUCCGACCUGCACGAAUGGUGUAAUGAUCUGGACGCUGUCUCAACCGUGAGCUCAGUGAAAUUGUAGUAUCGGUGAAGAUGCCGAUUACCCGCGAUGGGACGAAAAGACCCCGUGAACCUUUACUAUAGCUUA
RNAcentral lists this ribosomal RNA (2086 nucleotides) under human metagenome. RNAcentral's name for it is "bacterial LSU rRNA". It matches the Rfam family "Bacterial large subunit ribosomal RNA", at positions 14 to 2113 of the family's 2925-position model. The record is from RNAcentral.